GAUGAAGAACGCAGCGAAAUGCGAUAAGUAGUGUGAAUUGCAGAAUUCAGUGAAUCAUCGAAUCUUUGAACGCACAUUGCGCCACUUGGUAUUCCAUGGGGCAUGCCUGUUCGAGCGUCAUUUGUACCUUCAAGCUUUGCUUGGUGUUGGGUGUUUGUCUCGCCUUUGCGUGUAGACUCGCCUUAAAAUAAUUGGCAGCCGGCGUAUUGAUUUCGGAGCGCAGUACAUCUCGCGCUUUGCACUCAUAACGACAGCGUCCAAAAGUACAUUUUACACUCGUGACCUCGGAUCAGGUAGGGAUACCCGCUGAACUUAAGCAUAUCAAUAAGCGGAGGA
RNAcentral lists this unclassified non-coding RNA (336 nucleotides) under soil metagenome. RNAcentral's name for it is "partial contains 5.8S ribosomal RNA, internal transcribed spacer 2, and large subunit ribosomal RNA". The stretch from base 1 to 120 matches the Rfam family "5.8S ribosomal RNA", at positions 35 to 154 of the family's 154-position model. The record is from RNAcentral.